Molecule: transfer RNA, 69 nt
Filed under: Spinibarbichthys denticulatus
Lineage: Eukaryota; Metazoa; Chordata; Actinopteri; Cypriniformes; Cyprinidae
Description: tRNA-His
Rfam family: tRNA
About the family: Transfer RNA (tRNA) molecules are approximately 80 nucleotides in length. Their secondary structure includes four short double-helical elements and three loops (D, anti-codon, and T loops).
Source: RNAcentral
GUGAGUAUAGUCUAACUAAGACUCUAGAUUGUGGAUCUAAGAAUAGGAGUUAAAAUCUUCUUACUCACC